Acanthopagrus latus (yellowfin seabream) is the source of this 782-nucleotide long non-coding RNA. RefSeq lists it as uncharacterized. The record is from RefSeq and is a predicted model, not a curated record. The transcript is spliced from 3 exons. Lineage: Eukaryota; Metazoa; Chordata; Actinopteri; Spariformes; Sparidae.
GAGAAAUCCAAAUGAUAGUAAACUGGGAAUUUUUGCACAACUUUAAGAUACAUAUAGAUAUGGAUUAACAGAAACUGAGUCUAAGUUAGAAUUAAUUACAGAUCAGAAGGUCAAACUUGCAUCAAAAAUAUAUAUAGACACUAAUGAAUAAAACAACAGAGACUCAUUGGAAUGCAGUUAAAAGAAACUGGGAAAUUGAUAGAGGCAUAUCCUUGGAAUCACGUCUGGAAAACCGCUCAUGAGAUAUUUAAAUCGUUGAAGAACAAGAUGAUAAAUUAGAAUUUUCACCACUGCGCGACUCCAUAAGACAGGUGUAUCUGACUCAGAUCUCUGUUGGCACUGCAAAGAGGAUGAAGGUGUUUUCUAUCAUAUGGCAUGGACGUGCCCCAAAGUGCAAAUCGUCUGGAAAACUGUUUUAGACUACCUCAGAGAGAUCACAGGAGAUACAGUGCAUAGUGAUCCAGUAAGCCAUCUUCCCUCAGAUACAUCCCUCGACUCUUUGCACAAGGCUAGCUGAGGAUGCUGCUGCUCCAGCUGAUGCAGGGGGGGCCCCAAGAAGACUUUGUCCCAUAAGCAACAUUGCAAAAGAGGCAUCUGCAAUAUAGUGGAUACAUUUUGGAGUUCAAAACUAUGUGCCCCCCUUGGGUCAAGCCCUCCAGCCUGCCAGGCCCUCCACUCAAUCAGAUGACUCUCAAUUAUGUCCAACCCCCUGCUGGAUCUUCUGUGCCCUACCUCAAAAUACAUGUGACUGGGUUUAUCCAAAAGCAUCAUUAAAGCCCAUG